RNAcentral lists this long non-coding RNA (2906 nucleotides) under Sarcophilus harrisii (Tasmanian devil). RNAcentral's name for it is "lncRNA (ENSSHAG00000022354.1)". Lineage: Eukaryota; Metazoa; Chordata; Mammalia; Dasyuromorphia; Dasyuridae. The record is from RNAcentral.
GGGACACGGAGAAUGACGGCGAUCUCCCCUGGGCCUGGGACACCAGCUCCCGAAGGGGCGUGAGCCAGGGGAGCCCCCCCACGGCCCUGCCCGGAUCCACCGCCUCUCCUAGCCGCCGCCCCGCCCCCCAUGACCCCCGGGGCCGCCCAGAUCCAGGUGAGGGGCCCGGGGCUGGGGAGGCGGCCAGGCUGCUCACAGCGGGGGGCCCCCGUGGUCCGAGGAUAGCCAUGACCCAGCCCCAGCCCAGCUGGGGACCUAGAUACCUACAAGGACAAACCACAGGGAGCCCUCAGAGCCCCCAGCCCCCGGAGCCCAUCGGGAGGGAGCCUGGAGCACCCCCCCCCAGGAGCACUUCGAGAGGGAGCCGGUCUGAGAUGGCGGGAAAGGAGACAAGGGGCCGAGAGGUUGCGGCUGAAUGAGGGGAUGGGAGAAUCAGGGGCACGAAUGACAAGUGAGGCCCUGGGGGAGGAGGGGAGAGGCCGCGGCCGGUCCGAGGGCCAGAGGGCGGGGGGGAAGGCGCCAGCAGGUCUGAAGGAACGGGCCCAGAGCCCCGAGAGGAGAGGGGGCCCGGAGGAGCCAGCGCCCGUGUCCAAGGCUUGAAGGAGGCCGGAGGAGACGCUGCCGGCCCCGGGGCUCAGUGGGACCCGUCGGGAAGGGCCGGAGGAGGGCGGCGGGCUUGGGCCUGUGGCCGGGCCAUCUGUUCCCCUCCUCGGGCUCCCUCUCGCUGGGAUCCCUGGGGACUCCUGGGGGCCACAAGCCCCGCCGGGCACAGUUGGACACCAGAGGGCGCUCGGGAGCCUUCCUGCAGUCUCCCUCCGAUGAAAGACUCGAGUCUGCCGGGCGACUGCUGGCGUCCCCGGGACCUCUGUCCAAUGGGCCUCCCUGGGAGUGACCCUGCCCCUUUCUGCUUUCUCUCCCCAGAUGUCCGGGGUCGCUCUGCGGCCCCCGAGGAGGCCCCCGGCCCGGAUCUCCAGCUGCCCACGCUCCCCCCAGCACCUCCGACCGCUGAAUCGAGCACACAUUUGACCUCUGAUCUCGGACUGUCUCUGACCACUGACCUCAGUCCGCGGCUGACCCCUGAUUCAGACAAACAGCUGAACUCUGACCCCAGCCCACAGCUAACCACUGACCCUGACCUACAGCUGACCCUUGAGCCCAACCUUCGGCUGAUCUCUGAUGUCAGCCACAGACUGACUUCAGAUGUUGUCCUAGAACUGACCUCUGACCCCGGCUCACAGCUGACCUCUGACUCCUCCCCAAUGUCAGGGGUGACCUCUGUCCCUGACCAAUUAAUUGCUGAUCCGGGCCCAUGGCAGAGCCCGGACUUUAUGCCAGAGCUCACCUCUGACCUCACCCCUAAGGGAGAGCUCACCCCUUCCUCUGCCCCACAGCCAAUACCGGAUGUCGCCCCACAGUUGACAUCUGAUACCAACCAACAACUGACCAUCGAGUCCCUCUCACGACCGACCUCUGACCCUAGCCCACGGCUGACCCCUAACUCUCCCCUAGACCUGACCUCUGACCCUAGCCCACAGCUGACCACUAAAUCUCCCCUCGACCUGACCUCUGACCCUAGCCCACAGCUGACCACUAAAUCUCCCUUAGACCUGACCUCUGACCCUAGCCCACAGUUGACCUCUAACUCUCCCUUAGAUGUGACCUCUGACCCUAGCUCACAGCUGACCCCUAACUCUCCCUUAGACCUGACCUCUGACCCUAGCCCAAAGUCGACCUCUAAAUCUCCCCUAGACCUGACCUCUGACCCUAGCUCACAGCUGACCCCUAACUCUCCCUUAGACCUCUGACCCUAGCCCACAGCUGACCUCUGAAUCUCCCCCUGCCUGACCUCGGCCCUAACCCACGCGCCCCCUCUCCCCUGGACCCGCCUCGCCCUACCCACGUGACCCCUAACUCCCCCUUAGACCUGACCUCUGACCCCAGCCCACAGCUGACCCCUAACUCCCCCUUAGACCUGACCUCUGAUUCUAGCCCACUGUUGACUUCUCCCUCCACCGCACCACGAUUCACUCCUGAUUCUAUCUCCCUCCUGACCUCUGACAUGUCCCUGCAGAUGCCUUCUGACCCCACCUCCACCCCAGUGCUGACCUCUCAGCCCCCGCGGCUGACCCCCGCCUUUAAUCCCACCCAAACUGAGCUGGAGCUUAGCCCAUCCCCAGGCCCGGAGAUGACCACCACCCCCCCCAGCGCCCACGGGCGGACCCUGCCCUUGCCCUCUUGGACAGCAGAAGCUCCAGAGCUCAGCCCCACGUCCCAGCCAGCCAGCGUGGCCCCGGCCAGCUCAGGGACGGCCCCAGGGCCCCAGCCUCCCGGCGGCGCACAGCCUCCCCCAGCCCCCGGCCAGGGUCCCCUCCAAGUCUCCCCGGCCCCUUCGGAGACGGCCAGAGGUCUCGGCCCUGCCCCCGGCUCCAGCCCUGCGCCUCCCCCGACCCCCACUGCCCGGGACUCGAGCCUCAUGGCGGCCGCGGUGCCCACCGUUAACCCCGGUCCCGUCCCCGCCCCGGCCCCGACUCCCAAGCCCGGCCCCGAGCAGCCCCCGGCAGCAGGCCCCACGGCCCCCCGGGACGUGGAGACAGGCCAGUGCGUGGGGGCCGCCCCGGCCGUCCUCCGAGUCAUGGCCUGCGAGCCGCCGGCCCUGCGGGAGCUGGUGGGCGCCGUGAGGGACGUGGGGAAGCAGCUGCGGAUCCUGACCCAGGCCGUGCAGCAGAGCCGCGCCGAGAGGAGGGCCGCGGGCCUGGAGCUGGGCCGGCUGGUGGAGGCCGUCAGGGGCCUGGGGGAUCUGGGCCAGGCCCUGCGAGGGCUGGUGGAGGCGGCCCCCGCCCCUGGGCUCCGGGAGGAGGAGAGGGAGGAAGCCCCGGGGGGGGGACGGCCCGGCGCCCCCCCGGCAC